Molecule: ribosomal RNA, 253 nt
Filed under: uncultured bacterium
Lineage: Bacteria
Description: partial 16S ribosomal RNA
Rfam family: Bacterial small subunit ribosomal RNA
Source: RNAcentral
UACAGAGGUCUCAAGCGUUGUUCGGAUUCAUUGGGCGUAAAGGGUGCGUAGGCGGCGCGGUAAGUCGGGUGUGAAAUCUCGGAGCUUAACUCCGAAACUGCAUUCGAUACUGCCGUGCUUGAGGACUGGAGAGGAGACUGGAAUUUACGGUGUAGCGGUGAAAUGCGUAGAUAUCGUAAGGAAGACCAGUGGCGAAGGCGGGUCUCUGGACAGUUCCUGACGCUGAAAAGCGAAAGCCAGGGGAGCAAACGGG